AGGCCUGAGCACAAUGCACAGCUGCAGUGCAGGAGAGGACUCCAGGCUAGAAGUUCCAAUCUGAUGCUAAUCACAAAAUCCUCGAGACUGUGAGACGUCCGUGCUCACCUCCCUCCUGCUGGCAAGAAAGGAACACAGGCUGCAGAGGAGCUGCAGAGGAGUGGGGCUGGUAGGAUGGAUGUGGCCCAACAAACCUUGUUCUCUGUCAGCAUCCUGCAUUUUUGAAGCAGAGGCCAUGAACAUUGGCCUUUUGUGUGUUCUCUGGAAAUGGCUGCCGUGAGACUCCCAGUUCAUCACAGCGUGAGCCGGUCACAAGCGUAGACUUGGUGCACAGCAUGAGCUCCUGCACGAUGAACCUCAUUUCUGCAAACCCCUAUAAAUGUUUGGUUAUGCAUUUUGAAAGUGACACUCCAGCUGGGACACUGCAUGCAAAUAUCAAAUUGCUUCUUAGAGUGAGUUAUGAAAAAUUGGACAGAAAAAACAGCAGACUG
Molecule: long non-coding RNA, 491 nt
Organism: Cyanistes caeruleus (blue tit)
Lineage: Eukaryota; Metazoa; Chordata; Aves; Passeriformes; Paridae
Source: RefSeq, a predicted model, not a curated record